GACGAACGCUGGCGGCGUGCCUAACACAUGCAAGUCGAACGGAGCAAUUACUUCGGUGAUUGCUUAGUGGCGAACGGGUGAGUAACGCGUGAGAAACCUGCCUUUCAGUGGGGGACAACAGUUGGAAACGACUGCUAAUACCGCAUAAUGUUAUUUGGGGGCAUCCCUGGAUAACCAAAGCUUUAUGUGCUGAAAGAUGGUCUCGCGUCUGAUUAGCUAGUUGGUGAGGUAACGGCUCACCAAGGCGACGAUGCAUAGGGGUUCUGAGAGGAAGGUCCCCCCANACUGGUACUGAGACACGGACCAGACUCCUACGGGAGGCAGCAGUGAGGAUAUUGGUCAAUGGUCGAGAGACUGAACCAGCCAAGUCGCGUGAGGG
RNAcentral lists this ribosomal RNA (379 nucleotides) under uncultured bacterium. Its description in RNAcentral is "bacterial SSU rRNA". It matches the Rfam family "Bacterial small subunit ribosomal RNA", at positions 28 to 407 of the family's 1533-position model. The record is from RNAcentral.